Molecule: ribosomal RNA, 429 nt
Filed under: Pseudomonadota bacterium
Lineage: Bacteria; Pseudomonadati; Pseudomonadota
Description: Proteobacteria bacterium partial 16S ribosomal RNA
Rfam family: Bacterial small subunit ribosomal RNA
Source: RNAcentral
UGGGGAAUAUUGGACAAUGGGCGAAAGCCUGAUCCAGCCAUGCCGCGUGUGUGAAGAAGGUCUUCGGAUUGUAAAGCACUUUAAGUUGGGAGGAAGGGCAGUAAGCGAAUACCUUGCUGUUUUGACGUUACCGACAGAAUAAGCACCGGCUAACUCUGUGCCAGCAGCCGCGGUAAUACAGAGGGUGCAAGCGUUAAUCGGAAUUACUGGGCGUAAAGCGCGCGUAGGUGGUUCGUUAAGUUGAAUGUGAAAGCCCCGGGCUCAACCUGGGAACUGCAUCCAAAAAUGGCGAGCUAGAGUAGGGCAGAGGGUGGUGGAAUUUCCUGUGUAGCGGUGAAAUGCGUAGAUAUAGGAAGGAACACCAGUGGCGAAGGCGACCACCUGGGCUCAUACUGACACUGAGGUGCGAAAGCGUGGGGAGCAAACAGG